GUGGGGAAUUUUGGACAAUGGGCGCAAGCCUGAUCCAGCAAUGCCGCGUGCAGGAAGAAGGCCUUCGGGUUGUAAACUGCUUUUGUACGGAACGAAAAGGCUCUGGUUAAUACCUGGGGCUCAUGACGGUACCGUAAGAAUAAGCACCGGCUAACUACGUGCCAGCAGCCGCGGUAAUACGUAGGGUGCAAGCGUUAAUCGGAAUUACUGGGCGUAAAGCGUGCGCAGGCGGUCUUGUAAGACAGAGGUGAAAUCCGCGGGCUCAACCUGGGAAUUGGCUUUGUGACUGGGAGGCUGGAGUGCGGCAGAGGGGGAUGGAAUUCCGCGUGUAGCAGUGAAAUGCGUAGAUAUGCGGAGGAACACCGAUGGCGAAGGCAAUCCCCUGGGCCUGCACUGACGCUCAUGCACGAAAGCGUGGGGAGCAAACAGGAUUAGAAACCCGGGUAGUCC
Molecule: ribosomal RNA, 450 nt
Filed under: uncultured bacterium
Lineage: Bacteria
Description: partial 16S ribosomal RNA
Rfam family: Bacterial small subunit ribosomal RNA
Source: RNAcentral